Molecule: ribosomal RNA, 1639 nt
Filed under: Staphylococcus aureus F16533
Lineage: Bacteria; Bacillati; Bacillota; Bacilli; Caryophanales; Staphylococcaceae
Description: bacterial LSU rRNA
Rfam family: Bacterial large subunit ribosomal RNA
Source: RNAcentral
AGUGAGAAUGCCGGUGUGAGUAGCGAAAGACGGGUGAGAAUCCCGUCCACUGAUUGACUAAGGUUUCCAGAGGAAGGCUCGUCCGCUCUGGGUUAGUCGCGUCCUAAGCUGAGGCCGACAGGCGUAGGCGAUGGAUAACAGGUUGAUAUUCCUGUACCACCUAUAAUCGUUUUAAUCGAUGGGGGGACGCAGUAGGAUAGGCGAAGCGUGCGAUUGGAUUGCACGUCUAAGCAGUAAGGCUGAGUAUUAGGCAAAUCCGGUACUCGUUAAGGCUGAGCUGUGAUGGGGAGAAGACAUUGAGUCUUCGAGUCGUUGAUUUCACACUGCCGAGAAAAGCCUCUAGAUAGAAAAUAGGUGCCCGUACCGCAAACCGACACAGGUAGUCAAGAUGAGAAUUCUAAGGUGAGCGAGCGAACUCUCGUUAAGGAACUCGGCAAAAUGACCCCGUAACUUCGGGAGAAGGGGUGCUCUUUAGGGUUAACGCCCAGAAGAGCCGCAGUGAAUAGGCCCAAGCGACUGUUUAUCAAAAACACAGGUCUCUGCUAAACCGUAAGGUGAUGUAUAGGGGCUGACGCCUGCCCGGUGCUGGAAGGUUAAGAGGAGUGGUUAGCUUCUGCGAAGCUACGAAUCGAAGCCCCAGUAAACGGCGGCCGUAACUAUAACGGUCCUAAGGUAGCGAAAUUCCUUGUCGGGUAAGUUCCGACCCGCACGAAAGGCGUAACGAUUUGGGCACUGUCUCAACGAGAGACUCGGUGAAAUCAUAGUACCUGUGAAGAUGCAGGUUACCCGCGACAGGACGGAAAGACCCCGUGGAGCUUUACUGUAGCCUGAUAUUGAAAUUCGGCACAGCUUGUACAGGAUAGGUAGGAGCCUUUGAAACGUGAGCGCUAGCUUACGUGGAGGCGCUGGUGGGAUACUACCCUAGCUGUGUUGGCUUUCUAACCCGCACCACUUAUCGUGGUGGGAGACAGUGUCAGGCGGGCAGUUUGACUGGGGCGGUCGCCUCCUAAAAGGUAACGGAGGCGCUCAAAGGUUCCCUCAGAAUGGUUGGAAAUCAUUCAUAGAGUGUAAAGGCAUAAGGGAGCUUGACUGCGAGACCUACAAGUCGAGCAGGGUCGAAAGACGGACUUAGUGAUCCGGUGGUUCCGCAUGGAAGGGCCAUCGCUCAACGGAUAAAAGCUACCCCGGGGAUAACAGGCUUAUCUCCCCCAAGAGUUCACAUCGACGGGGAGGUUUGGCACCUCGAUGUCGGCUCAUCGCAUCCUGGGGCUGUAGUCGGUCCCAAGGGUUGGGCUGUUCGCCCAUUAAAGCGGUACGCGAGCUGGGUUCAGAACGUCGUGAGACAGUUCGGUCCCUAUCCGUCGUGGGCGUAGGAAAUUUGAGAGGAGCUGUCCUUAGUACGAGAGGACCGGGAUGGACAUACCUCUGGUGUACCAGUUGUCGUGCCAACGGCAUAGCUGGGUAGCUAUGUGUGGACGGGAUAAGUGCUGAAAGCAUCUAAGCAUGAAGCCCCCCUCAAGAUGAGAUUUCCCAACUUCGGUUAUAAGAUCCCUCAAAGAUGAUGAGGUUAAUAGGUUCGAGGUGGAAGCAUGGUGACAUGUGGAGCUGACGAAUACUAAUCGAUCGAAGACUUAAUCAA